This 29-nucleotide small RNA is filed under the name Bombyx mori (domestic silkworm). Its description in RNAcentral is "ovarian small RNA-16170". The record is from RNAcentral. Lineage: Eukaryota; Metazoa; Arthropoda; Insecta; Lepidoptera; Bombycidae.
GAUGUGAACACGCAACCUUUUGAUUCAUC